RNAcentral lists this ribosomal RNA (631 nucleotides) under Salmonella enterica subsp. enterica serovar Typhimurium. RNAcentral describes it as "bacterial SSU rRNA". It matches the Rfam family "Bacterial small subunit ribosomal RNA", at positions 89 to 716 of the family's 1533-position model. Lineage: Bacteria; Pseudomonadati; Pseudomonadota; Gammaproteobacteria; Enterobacterales; Enterobacteriaceae. The record is from RNAcentral.
UGACGAGUGGCGGACGGGUGAGUAAUGUCUGGGAAACUGCCUGAUGGAGGGGGAUAACUACUGGAAACGGUGGCUAAUACCGCAUAACGUCGCAAGACCAAAGAGGGGGACCUUCGGGCCUCUUGCCAUCGGAUGUGCCCAGAUGGGAUUAGCUAGUAGGUGAGGUAACGGCUCACCAAGGCGACGAUCCCUAGCUGGUCUGAGAGGAUGACCAGCCACACUGGAACUGAGACACGGUCCAGACUCCUACGGGAGGCAGCAGUGGGGAAUAUUGCACAAUGGGCGCAAGCCUGAUGCAGCCAUGCCGCGUGUAUGAAGAAGGCCUUCGGGUUGUAAAGUACUUUCAGCGGGGAGGAAGGUGUUGUGGUUAAUAACCGCAGCAAUUGACGUUACUCGCAGAAGAAGCACCGGCUAACUCCGUGCCAGCAGCCGCGGUAAUACGGAGGGUGCAAGCGUUAAUCGGAAUUACUGGGCGUAAAGCGCACGCAGGCGGUCUGUCAAGUCGGAUGUGAAAUCCCCGGGCUCAACCUGGGAACUGCAUUCGAAACUGGCAGGCUUGAGUCUUGUAGAGGGGGGUAGAAUUCCAGGUGUAGCGGUGAAAUGCGUAGAGAUCUGGAGGAAUACCGGUGGC